RNAcentral lists this ribosomal RNA (467 nucleotides) under uncultured bacterium. RNAcentral's name for it is "partial 16S ribosomal RNA". The record is from RNAcentral.
CACGAAGUUAGCCGGGGCUUCUUCUACAGGUACCGUCAUUAUCUUCCCUGUCGAAAAGGAGUUUACGUCCCAAGAGACUUCAUCCUCCACGCGGCGUUGCUGCGUCAGGGUUUCCCCCAUUGCGCAAAAUUCCCCACUGCUGCCUCCCGUAGGAGUCUGGACCGUGUUUCAGUUCCAGUGUGUCCGUGCGCCCUCUCAGGCCGGAUACAGAUCAUUGCCUUGGUGGGCCAUUACCCCGCCAACUAGCUAAUCUGCCGCGGCCUCCUCUCCAAGCGCAUUGCUGCUUUGACUCGUAAGUGUUAUGCGGUAUUAGCUAAGGUUUCCCUCAGUUAUUCCCCACUCGGAGGUAGAUUAGUCACGUGUUACUCACCCGUGCGCCACUUUACUCAGAUCCGAAGACCCUUUCUCGUGCGACUUGCAUGUGUUAGGCACGCCGCCAGCGUUGAUUCUGAGCCAGGAUCAAACUC